AUUGAACGCUGGCGGAAUGCUUUACACAUGCAAGUCGAACGGUAGAGGGGGCAACCCCUCGAGAGUGGCGAACGGGUGAGUAAUAUAUCGGAACGUGCCCAGUCGUGGGGGAUAACGUAGCGAAAGUUACGCUAAUACCGCAUACGAUCUAAGGAUGAAAGCGGGGGAUCGCAAGACCUCGCGCGAUUGGAGCGGCCGAUAUCAGAUUAGGUAGUUGGUGGGGUAAAGGCUUACCAAGCCAACGAUCUGUAGCUGGUCUGAGAGGACGACCGGCCACACUGGAACGGAGACACGGUCCAGACUCCUACGGGAGGCAGCAGUGGGGAAUUUUGGAAAAUGGACGCAAGUCUGAUCCAGCCAUUCCGCGUGCAGGAUGAAGGCCCUCGGGUUGUAAACUGCUUUUGUACGGAACGAAAAGGUCUCUCUUAAUACGGGGGACUCAUGACGGUACCGUAAGAAUAAGCACCGGCUAACUACGUGCCAGCCGCCGCAGUAA
RNAcentral lists this ribosomal RNA (496 nucleotides) under uncultured bacterium. RNAcentral's name for it is "partial 16S ribosomal RNA". It matches the Rfam family "Bacterial small subunit ribosomal RNA", at positions 30 to 523 of the family's 1533-position model. The record is from RNAcentral.